GGUCGCAUGGUCUAGCUGGUUAGGACGCCUGCCUGUCACGCAGGAGAUCGCGGGUUCGAUCCCCGCUGUGACCGC
Molecule: transfer RNA, 75 nt
Filed under: Leuconostoc mesenteroides subsp. dextranicum
Lineage: Bacteria; Bacillati; Bacillota; Bacilli; Lactobacillales; Lactobacillaceae
Description: tRNA-Asp
Rfam family: tRNA
About the family: Transfer RNA (tRNA) molecules are approximately 80 nucleotides in length. Their secondary structure includes four short double-helical elements and three loops (D, anti-codon, and T loops). Further hydrogen bonds mediate the characteristic L-shaped molecular structure. tRNAs have two regions of fundamental functional importance: the anti-codon, which is responsible for specific mRNA codon recognition, and the 3' end, to which the tRNAs corresponding amino acid is attached (by aminoacyl-tRNA synthetases). tRNAs cope with the degeneracy of the genetic code in two manners: having more than one tRNA (with a specific anti-codon) for a particular amino acid; and 'wobble' base-pairing, i.e. permitting non-standard base-pairing at the 3rd anti-codon position.
Source: RNAcentral